Molecule: non-coding RNA, 126 nt
Organism: Triticum aestivum (bread wheat)
Lineage: Eukaryota; Viridiplantae; Streptophyta; Magnoliopsida; Poales; Poaceae
Source: Rfam
CUAAUACUCUCUUCGUCCGAAAAAGCUUGUCCCUCAAAUGGAUGUAUCUAGCAUCAAGUUAGUGCUAGAUACAUCCAUUUAAGAAACAAGCUUGGGACAAGUUUUUUCGGAAGAAAGGAGUAGUUA